UCUAGAACUCGAGAUAUGGGCUGAACACUGAAUAGUGUCUGGGCUGUAGGACAGAUUCCGACUUCUCCGUUAUUGCUAAGAUUUGGACUUCCAAACAGUAGAAUUGAGUCUUGGACUCCAUAAAUGUUUUAGGCCUACGUCUUAGCUUUCUAGC
This is a non-coding RNA of Populus trichocarpa (black cottonwood), 154 nucleotides long. NCBI's taxonomy places the organism in Eukaryota, Viridiplantae, Streptophyta, Magnoliopsida, Malpighiales, Salicaceae. The record is from Rfam.